RNAcentral lists this ribosomal RNA (497 nucleotides) under uncultured bacterium. RNAcentral's name for it is "partial 16S ribosomal RNA". It matches the Rfam family "Bacterial small subunit ribosomal RNA", at positions 28 to 507 of the family's 1533-position model. The record is from RNAcentral.
GAUGAACGCUGGCGGCGUGCCUAAUACAUGCAAGUCGAGCGAACAGACGAGGAGCUUGCUCCUCUGACGUUAGCGGCGGACGGGUGAGUAACACGUGGAUAACCUACCUAUAAGACUGGGAUAACUUCGGGAAACCGGAGCUAAUACCGGAUAAUAUAUUGAACCGCAUGGUUCAAUAGUGAAAGACGGUUUUGCUGUCACUUAUAGAUGGAUCCGCGCCGCAUUAGCUAGUUGGUAAGGUAACGGCUUACCAAGGCAAGAAUGCGUAGCCGACCUGAGAGGGGGUUCGGCCACAUUGGAACUGGAACACGGCCCAGACUCCUACGGGAGGCACCAGUAGGGAAUCUUCCGCAAUGGGCGAAAGCCUGACGGAGCAACGCCGCGUGAGUGAUGAAGGUUUUCGGAUCGUAAAACUCUGUUAUUAGGGAAGAACAAAUGUGUAAGUAACUAUGCACGUCUUGACGGUACCUAAUCAGAAAGCCACGGCUUACUACGUG